GUGGUUUUCCACUUUAAUUUUGAGUGUGAUUCCAAAUCUAGACCUCCAUGGGUUGAUAAAUUGGAUUUCCAUUGAUUAUUUUUGUGUGAUUUUGUUGUCAGCACAUUCAACUAUGUAAAGAAAUAAGUAUUUAAUAAGAUUAUUUCAUUCAUUCAGAUCUAGGAUGUGUUAUUUUAGUGUUCCCUUUAUUUUUUGUGCAGUGUAUAUAACAGAAAAAAUGUUAGCUGUUAUCCUGUUAAUCUCACUCUUAACAACUUAUUAGUUAAUAGUUACUGUAUUUCUGACUGCUAUUCUUUCUUUUUGCAACAUGAAAUCCCUAUCAGUUAGCUUGUGCAACAUUCAGGGCCUAAACUCAUCAACCUUUGGACUGAAGAGUUUAGCACUGGCGUUCAACAAAAAUCGUAAAGAUGUUAACGUCAUCAUUCUGCAGGAGACAUGGUGUAAGGCUGACAUUGUCACUCACUGUCCCACAGGCUUCAGAGAGGUCAUUGUGCCAUCACAAAAACACAGCUCCGUCAAUAGAGGCAGAGACUCUGGAGGAUUGAUCAUUUGGUACAAAUCCGAACUACAACAUCUAAUUUAUCCCCUCAAAAUUGGCAAAUAUCACAUUUGGUUAAAACUGAAAAAAGAACUUAUACUGACAGAAAAAUAUGUGUUCCUUUGCACAAUAUAUACCCCCCGCUCAGAAUCCCCAUAUUACUUAGAGGUGAUCUUCCCCACCCUUGAGGAAGAGAUGUGCCAUUUCCAGGUGCAGGGAAAUUUGCUCAUCUGUGGGGACACAAAUGCGCGCACAGGAACACUACCUGAUCUAACGAGCACACGAGGGGACAGCUUUAUUACAGGCCAUACUGUUUCUAACUGUCUUAAUCUCACCCAUAGAAACAACAGUGACAGCACCGUCAACAAAAACGGAAGGGAUCUUUUGCAGCUCUGUAGAAGCCUGGGUCUGUACUUUGUCAAUGGUAGGUUACGGGGGACUCUUUGGGGAGAUUCACCUACUGCUCACCUCUUGGCCACAGUACAGUAGACAAAUGAUCACAGACAUUGACCCUUUCUCUCUCAGCUCAUUCACUGUCAAGUCACUAACACCGCUGUCUGAUCACAGCCAAAUUACGUUGUUCCUCAAAAGAACAGACAAUGGAAACAACCACACAAUCACAGCCCAGUAAGCUGUACAACAUCAGAAAUUCAUACAAAAUAUCCAAACACUCUUAGAUAACUUUCUGGAUACCACAUUUACUCACAGUAAAGAAGGAAUCAAUCUAGCAGUACAAAACAUCAACUAUAUAUUCAGGCAAACGGCAAAAGAAGCACAAUUGAAAUUGAUAAAAAAGAUCACAGAUGACAACUGGUUUGAUGCAGAUUGUAAAAUUCUAAGGAAAAAACUUAGAACACUAUCCAACCAAAAGCACAGAGACCCAAAUAAUGGUGAAUUACGCCUUCAUUACUGUGAGACUUUAAAACUCUAUAAACGUACACUCAGAACCAAAAAAGCACAGUGCAACAGCAAGCAACUGACACUAAUUGAGGAGUCCAUAAACACAAACAACUUCUGGCAAAAUUGGAAAAAACAAAAAAAAUCUCAACAAGAGGAAUUAGCGAUACAAAAUGGUGAUUUAUGGACAACCCAUUUUAAAACACUCUACAACACCGUUCAAAUUGACACAAACGCAGAACAACGCCAAAUUCAUGACAAGUUGAAUGGAUUAGAAAAAGCUGUAAUGGACAAUCAAAAUCCAUUGGACUCCCCAAUUACUGACCAGGAGCUCUAUAAGAAACUUCAGGCUCUCAAAUUUAAAAAAGCAUGCGGACCUGAUGGCAUCCUAAAUGAGAUGCUCAAACUCACUAGUGCAACAUUUCAAUUGGCUAUAUUAAAACUGUUUAAUUUGAUCCUGAGUGUAGGUUAUUUCCCUGACAUCUGGAAUCAAGGACUCAUAACCCCAAUCUUUAAGAACGGAGACAAAUUUGACCCUAACAAUUACAGAGGCAUUUGUGUGAACAGUAACCUGGGGAAGGUUUUCUGUAGUAUUAUCAAUGUAAGAGUUCUAAACUUCCUUAAUAAGCACAAUGUCUUGAGUAAAAGCCAAAUUGGAUUUAUACCAAAACAUCGCACAACUGAUCAUAUUUACACCCUACACAGCCUGAUAGAUAAACAUGUCCACCAAAAUAAUACCAAAUGAUAUGCUUGCUUUAUCGACUUCCAAAAAGCAUUUGAUUCUAUUUGGCAUACAGGACUGUUCUACAAAGUUAUUGAAAGUGGGGUAGGGGGUAAAACAUAUGACAUAAUUAAAUCAAUGUAUACUGGCAAUACAUGCAGCAUUAAAAUUGGUAAGAAAAUAACAUAAUUCUUUAACCAGGGGCGGGGCCUUCGCCAGGGUUGCAAUCUGAGCCCUGCACUCUUCAAUAUUUACAUUAACGAAUUGGCCACUAUUCUAGAAAAAUCCUCAGCCCCUGGUGUUAGUCUCCACAAUUCAGAAGUUAAAUGUCUACUCUUCGCAGAUGACCUAUGCCUGCUGUCACCCCCAGCACAAGGCCUACAGCAGAGCCUGGACCUGCUAGAGCAGUACUGCCAGACCUGGGCCCUGGCAGUAAACCCCCAAAAUACUAAAAUAAUGAUUUUCCAGAGAAGAUCCAGAUCUCAGGUAAUUAGACCAAAGUUCUCAAUUGGUACAAAAUAUAUAGAGUACUGUACACACUACAAUUACUUAGGUUUAAAAAUAAGCUCAACUGGACACCUCAAUGAUGCAGUGAAUGAACUGAGAGAGAAAGCACGCAGGUGUCACAACGUCCACAGAAGGUGGCGCCUCUCCCCGUUCGGGCGGCGCUCGGCGGUUGUUGUCGCCGGCCUACUAGCUGCCACCGAUCUCCUUUUCCGUUUCUUUUGGUAAUGUCUGUGUAGGGUAGCACCUGUUUUGUGUUUAGUAAUUAGUGGGGUAUUUAGUCUGUCUGUUUUUUGUUUGGGGUUGUGCGGGAUUGUUUCGUGUCUGUGAUUGUAUGUUGGGGAUUUAUUCGUUGUUCAGGCCGUUACACAUUUUUGGCAUUAGGGUUACUGGGCUGCGUCCCGGCUCGUUCCAGGACUGUUGAGUCUUCAAGGUAAUUGUUCUACCCUGCCUUGUUUUGUUCGGCAUUGUGGACUGUGGUUUUAUUAAACGUGUGUCCACGUACUUGAGUCUCCUGCGCCUGACUUCACCCCUCCUGCAUAUCUAUUUGUGUGACAGCAGGGCAUUCUACGCCAUUAAAAAGCUAAUUCAAAUUGAAAUACCUAUUCAAAUUUGGCUAAAACUAAUUGAAUAUGUCAUUGAACCAAUUGCACUCUAUGGCAGCGAGGUGUGGGGUCCACUUGCAAAACAAGAUUUCAUCAAAUGGGACAAACACCCCAUUGAAACCCUGCAUGCAGAGUUCUGUAAGAUUUUCCUACAUGUCCAAAGAAAAACUACAAACAAUGCAUGCAGGGCAGAAUUUAGGCCAAUAUCCACUAAUAAUAAAACCUCAAAAAAGAGCAAUUAAGUUUUGGAAACAUCUAAAAUACAGUGACACCCUCUCAUAUCAUUACCAAGCCCUGCAAUGCCAAGAGCUGAGCAAAUAAAAGAGUCCCCUCAUCCAGCUGGUCCUGGGGCUGGGUUCACAAACCUGUUCUACUAACACACUGAAGCCUCAGGACCAGAACAUCCAAUCAAUCAGAAUAAACCAAAUUACAACACAGUCAAAACAAAACUACAUUGCUUAUUGGGAAACACAAGCACAAACACAAAGCAAAAUGCAGUGCUAUCUGGCCCUAAAUCGACAGUACAGUGUGGCUAACUAUUUGACCAUGAUUACUGAUCAAAACCUUAGAAAAACCUUGACAAAGUACAGGCUCAGUGAGCACAGCCUUGCCAUUUAGAAGGGUAGACACAGGAAAACCUGGCUCCCUGUAGAGGAAAGGCUGUGCAACCACUGCACAACAGCAGAACCUGAGACAGAGCUGCAUUUCCUGACAAAACGUAAAAAAUAUAAAACAAUUAGAGAGUGUCAUUUUCCCAAAUGUGAAACCCUUAUUCAAGGUUUCAAAGACCUCUCUGAUGAGGAUAGGCUACCCGUCCUGUUGGGGGAGGACGUAGAGAGCUGUGGGUUGUCAGCGCACUACAUUGCUGCCUGCCAUAAAUUGAGGGACAGCGUCUGACAAACCAAUCAACCUGCACAUGUACUCUACUGUAUGCCUAUUGUUAUUGUUGAAUGUAUGGUUAUUUUGACCCUUGGUUAUUGUUGUUACUGUUGUCCCAUUGACAAUUUUGAUUCUGAUUUUUAUUUACUUUUAUAUUGUAAAUAUCCUAAAUAAGCUUUGGCAAUAUGUACAUUGUUACGUCAUGCCAAUAAAGCGAAUUGAAUUGAAUUGAGAGAGAGAGAGAUUAGUGUUAGAGAUUAGAGAGAGAGAGAGAUUAGUGUUAGCGAUUAGAGAGAGAGAGAGAUUAGUGUUAGCGAUUAGAGAGAGAGAUUAGUGUUAGAGAGAGAGAUUAGUGUUAGAGAUUAGAGAGAGAGAUUAGUGUUAGCGAUUAGAGAGAGAGAGAUUAGUGUUAGCGAUUAGAGAGAGAUUAGUGUUAGCGAUUAGAGAGAGAGAUUAGUGUUAGCGAUUAGAGAGAGAGAAAGAGAGAGAUUAGUGUUAGCGAUUAGAGAGAGAGCGAUUAGAGAGAGAGAUUAGUGUUAGUGAUUAGAGAGAUUGGUGUUAGCGAUUAGAGAGAGAGAUUAGUGUUAGCGAUUAGAGAGAGAGAAAGAGAGAGAUUAGUGUUAGCGAUUAGAGAGAGAGCGAUUAGAGAGAGAUUAGUGUUAGCGAUUAGAGAGAGAGAUUAGUGUUAGCGAUGAGAGAGAGAGAUUUGUGUUAGCAAUUAGAGAGAGAGAGAUUAGUGUUAGAGAUUAGAGAGAGCGAGAGAUUAGUGUUAGCGAUUAGAGAGAGAGAGAUUAGUGUUAGCGAUUUAGAGAGAGAGAGAGAUUAGUGUUAGCGAUUAGAGAGAGAGAGAGAUUAGUGUUAGCGAUUAGAGAGAGAGAGAGAGAUUAGUGUUAGCGAUUAGAGAGAGAGAGAGAUUAGUGUUAGCGAUUAGAGAGAGAGAGAGAGAGAGAGAGAGAGAGAGAAUUAGUGUUAGCUGAUUCACCAGACUGGCUGAUUCUCACUGUUUAUCCUUUUCAAAUGAGUGACACGGACUAAACAGACUAAACAGUGACUGUUUAGUCUCUACAUCUUUGCUCUCUCCACGUCUCCACCACUUUCCACCUCACAGGGUUAGGACUGUAACCACCAGAGGACUUGAAAAUGAGCUGGGGCAGAGAGGAUCACCAAAACUAUAGAGCAUACAACCAUGCCAACAACCAUCCUUGGAGAUCAGUGGACAAAGGGCUGGACAACAGGCCGCACCGAAAAAACGCAUGGUUCCACAGAAUACCAACUGGAAUGAAUCCUGAGGCAAAUGUGGCUUCUUCAUCAACAUCUUUAAGCUUUCGUUAAUAAACUAAUGAUACAAAUACUGUCUCCAGCUUUGAUCCAUCUGGGUUGGCGACCCCCCUUGGGUUGUGCCGUGGCGGAGAUCUUUGUGGGCUAUAGUCGGCCUUGUCUCAGGAUGGUAAGUUGAUGGUUGAAGAUAUCCCUCUAGUGGUGUGGGGGCUGUGCUUUGGCAAAGUGGGUGGGAUUAUAUCCUGCCUGUUUGGCCCUAUCCGGGGGUAUCAUCGGAUGGGGCCACAGUGUCUCCUGACCCCUCCUGUCUCAGCCUCCAGUAUUUAUGCUGCAGUAGUUUAUGUGUCGGGGGGCUAGGGUCAGUCUGUUAUAUCUGGAGUAUUUCUCCUGUCUUAUCUGGUGUCCUGUGUGAAUUUAAGUAUGCUCUCUCUAAUUCUCUUUUUCUCUCUUUCUUUCUCUCUCUCGGAGGACCUGAGCCCUAGGACAAUGCCUCAGGACUACCUGGCAUGAUGAAUCCUUGUUGUCCCCAGUCUACCUGGCCAUGCAGCUGCUCCAGUGUCAGCUGUUUUGUCUGCGGCUAUGGAACCCUGACCUGUUCACUGUGAUUACUAUUAUUUGGUAAUUUAUGAACAUUUCAACAUCUUGGCCAUGUUCUGUUAUAAUCUCCACCCGGCACAGCCAGAAGAGGACUGGCCACCCCUCAUAGCCUGGUUCCUCUCUAGGUUUCUUCCUAGGUUUUGGCCUUUCUAGGGAGUUUUUCCUAGCCACCAUGCUUCUACACCUGCAUUGCUUGCUGUUUGGGGUUUUAGGCUGGGUUUCUGUACAACACUUUGAUAUGCCAGCUGAUGUAAGAAGGGCUAUAUAAAUACAUUUGAUUUGAUGCCUGGGCCUUCAGGACGCAAAGUUCUUUGUUUGUCAGACGAGUCAUUGGGUCGAAACUACAGAACAGUACAAAACAAGAGAACACACAUGGUUAAUGUUCUGAAGAAAAAAAAUAUAUUUACACUGCCGGUCAAAAGUUUUAGAACACCUACUCAUUCAAUGGUUUUUCUUUAUUUUUACUAUUUUCUACAUUGUAGAAUAAUACUGAAGACAUCAAAACUAUGAAGUAACACAUAUGGAAUCAUGUAGUAUCCAAAAAAGUGUUAAACAAAUCAGCAUAUAAAAUGUCUUACAGAGCCUUUCCAUAAGUCAACUCAAGUUUCUUCAACUGUCUUCUGACUGUGAUUAGAGUGAUGUGGAUGUUGUGCUGUGAUGCCAGCAGAUUCCAGACUGGAUUUGCCAAAUGCCCAUCCUCUUCAACCAUCAGUGAGUCGAUGGCUUGAAUAGUCUCGCUAGAAAUUGUAAUGAAAAGCACUAUACAAAGUAAAUGUAUUAUUUAUUAUGGUCUGACAUGGCUGCAGAAAUGUUACAAUUUUGUAAUGCGUUUUGUUUGGUAAAUUGUUUUGUAAAUAUUAAUUCACAUUUGUGGUGCCAC
This 6899-nucleotide long non-coding RNA is filed under the name Salmo salar (Atlantic salmon). Its description in RNAcentral is "lncRNA (ENSSSAG00000100226.1)". Lineage: Eukaryota; Metazoa; Chordata; Actinopteri; Salmoniformes; Salmonidae. The record is from RNAcentral.